GACGAACGCUGGCGGCGUGCCUAAUACAUGCAAGUUGAGCGAUGAAGAUUGGUGCUUGCACCAAUUUGAAGAGCAGCGAACGGGUGAGUAACGCGUGGGGAAUCUGCCUUUGAGCGGGGGACAACAUUUGGAAACGAAUGCUAAUACCGCAUAACAACUUUAAACAUAAGUUUUAAGUUUGAAAGAUGCAAUUGCAUCACUUAAAGAUGAUCCCGCGUUGUAUUAGCUAGUUGGUGAGGUAAAGGCUCACCAAGGCGAUGAUACAUAGCCGACCUGAGAGGGUGAUCGGCCACAUUGGGACUGAGACACGGCCCAAACUCCUACGGGAGGCAGCAGUAGGGAAUCUUCGGCAAUGGACGAAAGUCUGACCGAGCAACGCCGCGUGAGUGAAGAAGGUUGUCGGAUCGUAAAACUCUGUUGGUAGAGAAGAACGUUGGUGAGAGUGGAAAGCUCAUCAAGUGACGGUAACUACCCAGAAAGGGACGGCUAACUACGUG
This 497-nucleotide ribosomal RNA is filed under the name uncultured bacterium. RNAcentral describes it as "partial 16S ribosomal RNA". It matches the Rfam family "Bacterial small subunit ribosomal RNA", at positions 28 to 507 of the family's 1533-position model. The record is from RNAcentral.